This 114-nucleotide ribosomal RNA is filed under the name Escherichia coli. RNAcentral also lists the same sequence under 7 other names. Lineage: Bacteria; Pseudomonadati; Pseudomonadota; Gammaproteobacteria; Enterobacterales; Enterobacteriaceae. The record is from RNAcentral.
UGGCGGCCUUAGCGCGGUGGUCCCACCUGACCCCAUGCCGAACUCAGAAGUGAAACGCCGUAGCGCCGAUGGUAGUGUGGGGUCUCCCCAUGCGAGAGUAGGGAACUGCCAGGC